RNAcentral lists this ribosomal RNA (254 nucleotides) under uncultured bacterium. RNAcentral's name for it is "partial 16S ribosomal RNA". It matches the Rfam family "Bacterial small subunit ribosomal RNA", at positions 524 to 776 of the family's 1533-position model. The record is from RNAcentral.
UACAGAGGGUGCAAGCGUUAUUCGGAAUCACUGGGCGUAAAGCGCAUGUAGGCGGUUUAGUAAGUCUGACGUGAAAUCCCUCGACUCAAUCGAGGAAGUGCAUUGGAUACUGCUAGACUAGAGUAUGGGAGAGGAGAACGGAAUUCCUGGUGUAGAGGUGAAAUUCGUAGAUAUCAGGAGGAACAACGGUGGCGAAGGCGGUUCUCUGGACCAUUACUGACGCUGAGGGUGCGAAAGCGUGGGGAGCAAACAGG